CAGUAGCCGCGGUAAUACGUAGGUGGCAAGCGUUGUCCGGAAUUAUUGGGCGUAAAGCGCGCGCAGGCGGAUCAGUUAGUCUGUCUUAAAAGUUCGGGGCUUAACCCCGUGAUGGGAUGGAAACUGCUGAUCUAGAGUAUCGGAGAGGAAAGUGGAAUUCCUAGUGUAGCGAUGAAAUGCGUAGAUAUUAGGAAGAACACCAGUGGCGAAGGCGACUUUCUGGACGAAAACUGACGCUGAGGCGCGAAAGCCAGGGGAGCGAACGGGAUUAGAUACCCCUGUAGUCCCUGUCUCUUAUACA
This 301-nucleotide ribosomal RNA is filed under the name uncultured bacterium. Its description in RNAcentral is "partial 16S ribosomal RNA". It matches the Rfam family "Bacterial small subunit ribosomal RNA", at positions 509 to 809 of the family's 1533-position model. The record is from RNAcentral.